Long non-coding RNA from Cyprinus carpio (common carp), 2110 nucleotides. NCBI's taxonomy places the organism in Eukaryota, Metazoa, Chordata, Actinopteri, Cypriniformes, Cyprinidae. The record is from Ensembl.
AAUUUAAUAUAAAUAGAUGAUACUUUAUGAAGUAGAAAUAAAAGUUUCUCGAUUUCUUCACUUUAAAAUAAUGAGGAGCAGCAUAUUUUCUGAAAUAAAAGGGAGGAAAAUUGCAAUAUAGUAAAGAAAAUUCAAGUUUCAUAAAAAUUGAAAUGGCACACAGACACAUUAUUGCAGUGUCAUUUAUCAACUGCAUUACAGAUUAUUAUAUGUAACAAUAUGUCAUGUUAUAUAAAUUAAAACAAUACUGAUACAUCAUUUUCAUUUCCUUUCUCAUACUCUGAUGAUAUGAAAUAAUAAAAUUUUCAAAAAUUAUUUGAUUCAUAAUUCAUUUUUCUAUCUAAAGGCCUGAUCCUCCCACUAUGGAUAAUAAACCCAAUUAAUUUACUAAAUGUAGUGGGUUGUUCGUCUGUUAGCCUAAAAGUCAGCUUAAUUUAAUAAAAUCAUUUCACAGACAUGAAGAGUUACAGACUAAUGUUUUUUUUUUUUUUCUUCUGUGCAUUAUAAUGAAGGCUUUAUAAAACUGCACAGCAUUUUUAGCUUUUUAAUCAACAUACUCUGUCCUACACCAACUACACUCAAAUUUCCUAUCAUGUAUGUCUAUGAAAGACGAUCAAACCAAUCAGAGUAGGUAUGGGGCGGGGCUGCACGUGCAACCCCGCCCCAGGUGCAGCCCCGCCUCGAUCUGCAGGCUGCAGCCGAGUGCUUCUCCGCAUGCGCGCUAAACACCGGAACACAAGAGCACCCUAACGGAAGCUAGAAUCCUUCUUGGCGCCGGGAAAAAGGUGGAUGGUUCGUUACCUCGUGGCUGAGCAAAAGGAACGUAGGCUACCCCUCUAGAGAAGCUUACCAAACUAUGACAACUUCUGCCUCGGAAAGAGUCCACACGGUUUCAUUUACCUCAGCACUGUGAUGUCUACUGACAAGAUGGAUAAAAUAUUCAUAUUACUUCAGAAGUUCAGACUGGAUAAAUACUACAAAAAAUUCAUUGAUCUUGGGAUUAAAGAAGAACUGGAUUUUUUUGACAGCGUCAAUGAUGUGACCUUAAAAACCAUGGAUUUUUCACAAGCAGAGAGGAACCGGUAUGACAAUAUGGUUGCUUAUCUGCGAAGAAUUGGCAAUGCACCAGUUCCAGAGAUGCAAGGAAUGCAUGUAAUGAAGUCUCUUAAUUCAUUUCGUAUAUCCUACCGAUUUCCAAAAUGUGCUGGGAUACAAGAAAUCACAGGUAUAGAUCCCUCACAAAAUACAGUGGAGGACCUGAUGCUGCGAAUCUGCCAUGAAAACAAGGUUGACCGAAACUUGUCUGUAUGCCUUUACACUGCUGAUGGUAUGCCUUUGACCGAUGACCCCUUUUUCAACACAUGGUCUUUGAAUGACAGACAUAUUGCAAGUGGGAGUGAACUGUAUGCCAUAUUUACACCAAGGGAAAAUUUAACAGAGUUACCACCAACGCAAAGACAGGCCAACAUCAGAAUUGAAGGACCGAGUGUCAUCCGCUGUCACAUAGCGUUACAGAAACGAAAACACUGUGGAGAUGAAUUUAAGAAAGUGGUUGCAUAUAUUAGGAGACUGAGUGGAUGCAAUGCUUUGGCUCAAAGUUUAUUCCAAAUGAUCUGUGGGAACUUGCAUGUAACUAGAAACCAAAAGAUUGCUGUUGUUGAGGGUCUUUACUUUCUUUUCCGAGAGUUGUUACCAGAUCGUAAUGAAACAUCAGGUCCAAAGGUCAUUGAAGAUGGUGAUGUUUUUGAAUAUGCAAAUAUUUGCUGGGCUUACCUGAUUGCUCAAGGACAGGUAUGUUUGCAGUGUUAUUUUUUUUUAAUGUUUUUGAAUAUGCAAAAUUAUUUUUCAUUCUAAUAGCAUGGAGUACAAGUACUGCAGCCUGUUUCCCCAAUAACCAGACUGUAAUGUGCAUCUUAAAUGACCACAUGUACUUUAUACAUUUCACAAUUUUGUGAAGAAAAGUUAUUUACCAGACUUGACAUCUUUUAAAGAAAAAGUAAAUACAAUUCAUAUUUAAUAAUACUGUAUAAAAUAUAUAUAUAUAUAUAUAUAUAUAUAUAUAUAUAUAUAUACAAAUAAAUAAAAAUAUAAAUAAAAUAUACUGUCUUGG